GCUUACGGCCACACUAGUUUGAGAACGCCCAAUCUCAUCUGACCUUUGAAGCUAAGCAAAUUCGGACUUGGAUAGUAUUGAGGUGGGACCCUACCUAGGAAUACCAGCUGCUGUAGGCU
Molecule: ribosomal RNA, 119 nt
Organism: Electrophorus electricus (electric eel)
Lineage: Eukaryota; Metazoa; Chordata; Actinopteri; Gymnotiformes; Gymnotidae
Source: Ensembl